GGGGGCGACCUGGCUUCGACGCGGGUUACAAAACCGGAGGUGCAUGCCGAGGAUGCAGAUAUCCUCGUAAAUCCAUCUGCAAAACCAUAGUUGCCAACGACAGCAACUUCGCACUCGCUGCUUAAAAACCAGUAGAGUGUCGUCGGACUGGAGCCGUGCCUGUGCGUUCAGAUUCCCGGCGUCAUCUCUCACAGGAUCGCGGUGACGCUCUCCCAGGGCGGAUCCGCUAAAAACCCACUGGGAUCGCUCACGGUUUCCCCCGCCCGUCGGGUGGCCAUGAGUUAAAUCAAUAGGCGCGGACAAGCAUGUAGAGCCAAGGGCGGAGAACUUGCGGACGGGGGUUCGAUUCCCCCCGCCUCCACCA
Molecule: transfer-messenger RNA, 364 nt
Filed under: Gammaproteobacteria (g-proteobacteria)
Lineage: Bacteria; Pseudomonadati; Pseudomonadota
Also listed under: 6 other names
Description: BMS3Abin12 sp002897735 Standard tmRNA
Rfam family: transfer-messenger RNA
About the family: Bacterial tmRNA, also known as 10Sa RNA or SsrA, is named for its dual tRNA and mRNA-like properties.
Source: RNAcentral